GACGAACGCUGGCGGCGUGCUUAACACAUGCAAGUCGAACGGUGAAGCUCCAGCUUGCUGGAGUGGAUCAGUGGCGAACGGGUGAGUAACACGUGAGCAACCUGCCCCAGACUCUGGAAUAAGCGCUGGAAACGGCGUCUAAUACUGGAUACGAGAUCAAGCCGCAUGGUUAUGGUCUGGAAAGUUUUUCGGUUUGGGAUGGGCUCGCGGCCUAUCAGCUUGUUGGUGAGGUAAUGGCUCACCAAGGCGACGACGGGUAGCCGGCCUGAGAGGGCGACCGGCCACACUGGGACUGAGACACGGCCCAGACUCCUACGGGAGGCAGCAGUGGGGAAUAUUGCACAAUGGGCGAAAGCCUGAUGCAGCGACGCCGCGUGAGGGAUGACGGCCUUCGGGUUGUAAACCUCUUUCAGCAGGGAAGAAGCGAAAGUGACGGUACCUGCAGAAGAAGCACCGGCUAACUACAUG
RNAcentral lists this ribosomal RNA (468 nucleotides) under uncultured bacterium. RNAcentral describes it as "partial 16S ribosomal RNA". It matches the Rfam family "Bacterial small subunit ribosomal RNA", at positions 28 to 507 of the family's 1533-position model. The record is from RNAcentral.